This 408-nucleotide ribosomal RNA is filed under the name uncultured bacterium. Its description in RNAcentral is "partial 16S ribosomal RNA". It matches the Rfam family "Bacterial small subunit ribosomal RNA", at positions 28 to 526 of the family's 1533-position model. The record is from RNAcentral.
GACGAACGCUGACGGCGUGCUUAACACAUGCAAGUCGAAGGGAGUGGCGAACGGGUGAGUAACACGUGAGUAACCUUCCCUUUUCUUUGGGAUAAGCCUGGGAAACUGGGUCUAAUACUAGAUGGAUGGGGAGGGGCUCGGGGCUUAUGAGCUGGUUGGUGGGGUGAUGGCUUACCAAGGCUUUGACGGGUAGACGGCCGGAGAGGGUGUGCGGUCACACUGGGACUGAGUGACGUCCCAGACGCCUACGGGAGGAAGCAGUGGGGGAUAUUGCACAAUGGACGAAAGUCUGAUGCAGCGACGUCGUGUGGGGGAUGAAGGCCUUGGGGUUGUAAACUCCUUUCGCCCGCGGAAUGGUAGUGGGUAAAGAAGCGCCGGCUAACUACGUGCCAGCAGCCGCGGUAAUAC